AUCCCUGAACCUGCUAGUAGUUAUAUGCUUGUCUCAAAGUCAUGCACGUCUCAGUACAGGCUGAAUUAAAGUGAAACCGCAAAUGACUCAUUAAAUCAGUUACGGUUUCUUAGAUCGUAUCCACAUUUACUUGGAUAACUGUGGUAAUUCUAGAGCUAAUACAUGCAAAAAGAUUUCGUUUCAGAGAUGGGGGGAAUGCUUUUAUUAGAUUAGAUUCAAAACCAAUCGGUGGCGGAUGGCUUGUUGUCCGUUCAUCGUUUGUUUUGGUGACUCUGAGUAACUUUAUGCUGAUCGCAUGAUCAUCUAGCACUGGCGACGUCUCUUUCAAAUGUCUGUCUUAUUAACUGUCGAUGGUAGGUUCUGCGCCUAUUAUGGUUGUAACAGGUAACGGGAAAUCAUUUCCGGAGAGGGAGCCUGAGAAACAGCUACCACAUUCAAGGAAGGCAGCAGGCGCUCCCGGCACGGAACCUCUCCUUCCUAGUAAUGAAAGAUAACGAUACGGAACACAUCGGAAUGAAUAUACUUUAAAUCCUUUAACGAGGAUUAAUUGGAAGGAAAGUUUGGUGUCAACAGCCGCGGCAAUUCCAGCUCAAAUAGCGUAUAUUAAAGUUGUUGCGGUAAAAAGCUCAGCGUUGAAUCUGUGUGUCACAGUGUUGGUUCACCGCUCGCGGUGUUUAACUGGCAUUAUUUGAUACGUCCUAUCUAGAGGCUUAGUUUCAUGUGGGUAAUCCAACUAAUUUUCUAUCGCGGUGCUUUUCAUUGAGUGUCUUGGUGGACCGUACGUUUACUUUGCACAAAUUAGAGUACUUAAAGCAGGCCACGUUCGAUUGAAUACUGCAUGGAAUAAUGGAAUAGGACCUCGGUUCUAUUUUAUUGGUUUUUCGGAACUCCGAGAUAAUGAUUAAUAGGGUCAGAUGGGGGUAUUCGUAUUGCGACAUUAGAAGUGAAAUUCUUGGAUCUUCGCAAGACGGACACAAGCGAAAGCAUUUGCCAAAAAUUUGUUUUUAUUAAUUAAGAAAGAAAAUUAGACAUUCGAAGGCGAUCAGAUACCGUCCUAGUUCUAACUAUAAACGAUGACAACUAGCGAUUCGGAGAAAUUUUUCAAAUCACACGGCGAGCAGGUUCAGGGAAACCAAAGCUUUUGAGUUUAGGGAGAAGUAUGGUUGCAAAGCUGAAACUUAAGGAAUUAACAAAAGGACUACAUCAGCAGUGGACCCUGCGGCUUAAUUUGACUCAAUACGGGAAACCUCACCAGGCCCGGACACUAAGGAUUGACAGAUUGAUAGCUCCUUAUUAAUUCGUUGAGUGGUGGUGCAUGGCCAUUUUUUGUUGGUGGAGCGAUUUGUCUGGUUAAUUUCAAUAACGAAAGAGACUCUAGCCUGCUAAAUAAACAUAACAUAUGGUAUCUCAACGAUUCCCGGUUUCGGUCGGUGGGAUUUUACUACCAACAUACAAACAAAUUUUCUUAGAGGAACAGGCGUUUUCCAGUCGUACGAGAUUAAAUAGUAACAGAUCCGUGAUGCCCUUAGAUGUUGUGGGUCGCACGUGUCCCACGCUGAAGAAAUCAGUGUGUUUUCCCUGAGUAAAGACUCAGUAACCCACUAAAGCUCCGUCGUGCUAGGGGUUGAGACUUGCGAUUAUUCUCCAUGAACUGAGGAAUUCCCAGUAAGCGCGUGUUAUAAGCUCGUGUUGAUUACGUCCCUGUCUUGUGUAUAUACCGCCCAUCGCUAUUACCGAUUAAAUAAUUUAAUGAAGUCUUCGAACUGAUACGCGGCUAAUGCCUUGGAAUUGCCUUUGUUACAGGGAAAAUGACCAAACUUGGUCAUUUAGAAAAAAUAAAAUUCGUAACAAGAUUUCCGUGAAUAGGCGGAAGAAUUAUUA
Melipona quadrifasciata is the source of this 1881-nucleotide ribosomal RNA. It matches the Rfam family "Eukaryotic small subunit ribosomal RNA". The record is from Rfam. NCBI's taxonomy places the organism in Eukaryota, Metazoa, Arthropoda, Insecta, Hymenoptera, Apidae.